GGAGUCGGCCGGACAGUCGCGUCAUCGCUUGCGAUGCCGAGGAAAGUCCGGGCUCCACAGGGCACGGUGCCAGGUAAUGCCUGGGCGGCGCGAGCCGACGGAAAGUGCAACAGAAAGAUACCGCCGAUGGCCGGGCGUCCUUCGGGGCGAGCGGAUCAGGCAAGGGUGAAAUGGUGCGGUAAGAGCGCACCGCGAGUCUGGCAACAGACCGGCACGGCAAACCCCACCGGGAGCAAGACCAAAUAGGGACCUCAUGACGUGGCCCGCGUCGGGUCCGGGUAGGUUGCUCGAGCGUAUCGGUGACGAUGCGCCUAGAGGAAUGACUGUCCACGACAGAACCCGGCUUACAGGCCGGCUCCGCCA
Molecule: RNase P RNA, 363 nt
Filed under: Luteimonas yindakuii
Lineage: Bacteria; Pseudomonadati; Pseudomonadota; Gammaproteobacteria; Lysobacterales; Lysobacteraceae
Description: Luteimonas sp. S-1072 RNase P RNA component class A
Rfam family: Bacterial RNase P class A
About the family: Ribonuclease P (RNase P) is a ubiquitous endoribonuclease, found in archaea, bacteria and eukarya as well as chloroplasts and mitochondria. Its best characterised activity is the generation of mature 5'-ends of tRNAs by cleaving the 5'-leader elements of precursor-tRNAs.
Source: RNAcentral